Molecule: ribosomal RNA, 446 nt
Filed under: uncultured bacterium
Lineage: Bacteria
Description: bacterial SSU rRNA
Rfam family: Bacterial small subunit ribosomal RNA
Source: RNAcentral
GGCCAGACUCCUACGGGAGGCAGCAGUGGGGAAUAUUGCACAAUGGGGGAAACCCUGAUGCAGCAACGCCGCGUGAGUGAAGAAGUAUUUCGGUAUGUAAAGCUCUCUCAGCAGGGAAGAAGAUGACGGUACCUGAAUAAGAAGCCCCGGCUAACUACGUGCCAGCAGCCGCGGUAAUACGUAGGGGGCAAGCGUUAUCCGGAUUUACUGGGCGUAAAGGGAGCGCAGACGGCAGUGCAAGUCUGGAGUGAAAGCCCGGGGCCCAACCCCGGGACUGCCCUUGGAACUGUGCGGCUAGAGUGCGGGAGGGGCAGGCGGAAUUCCUGGUGUAGCGGUGAAAUGCGUAGAUAUCAGGAGGAACACCGGCGGCGAAGGCGGCCUGCUGGACCGCGACUGACGUUGAGGCUCGAAAGCGUGGGGAGCGAACAGGAUUAGAUACCCCCGUA